UAUGACCCUGUGAUUAAUUGAGCGGCUGACCAAUCAUUACCUCCUCCUCCCUGCUCUUUCUACCCAAUAAAUACAAAGGGCUGUGGAAGCUCAAUGGGCUGCCUUUGCUCAUUAGAAGCAGGGAGCUCUCUUCUUCUUCCCCUGGAUCCUUCCUUUAAAAUAGUUUCUUUUGUCUUAAGUUUUCAUUUCUACGUUUGUCCCUUCAUUCAGUCUCUUAAAUGACGGUCUCAAGCAGUAACAGUAGUAAUUGCUGUAAUGACGGUCUCAAGUAGUAACCAGGGCACUCUGCCACAAGUGGCACCUGAACAGGGACUAACAGGGACUAUCAAGAACAAACGGAGACCUGAAGAGACCUGAAGGGAACUGAAGAGGUCUGCAGGGACAAAUAGAGAUAAGUAGGGAUAAAUAGAGAUAAAUAGAGACAAAUAGAGAUAGGUAAGGAAUGACAGGGACUUGCAGGAAGUAACAGGGACCAUAGGGACAGAUAGGGAUAGAUAAAGACUAGCAAAGACUAGCCGAGAUUAGCAAAGACCAGCAAGGACUAGCAGAGACUAGCAAAGACUAGCAGAAACUUGCAGGGACAGGCAGAGACAGAUAGGGACAGAUAGGGUCCUACAGGGACUUGAACGAGGAAGAUCUGCUGGAAAAGAAAAGAACUACAACCAACCAGAUGAACAAGAAACCCUGUUACAAGUCUGCUGGCAGCAACAUAAGGAAAUGAACAAAAAGUGUGGGUGCCCCCAAGGUGUGUACUACCAUGGAAUGGGAGAUUGGAGGGACACAUGGAUCCCAACCGUGGGCCUGGUUCCCCCAGUAUGAGCUGAAUACGAAGACAGAACAAACCACCAACCGGCAAUUGAAGGAUGAUGCCCAUUCUAUUUCCUAGGAAGGGAUAAGUUUUAAGGCCUUAUAAAAAGUGACACAAAGUGAACCGGGUUCUAUAAAUUACCAUGGAAAGUGGUGAGCCAACGAUUUGGCAGAACAAAACCCUGAGGAUAUGCAAACAAAAGGGACUAUGGAAUUUGCAAUUGCAGAUUAAAAUUGAAGAAGAAAACAUUUGAGUUGCAAAUACCGUAUUAAAAGUGGACACUGCUUAUGACUGCUGUAUGCAACAGUUUUUCAGGCCCGAGGUGAUAAAUAAAAAAUUGUUUGCUCUAUUUAACCAUUGAAUGCUUGGACUACUUUUGUAUCCUUAAGAUGUGAAGUGUUCUUCACUAGAAGUAAACAUUAAGGUCAUUUACCAUUGAUUGCUUAAGGCUAGUAAAUACGUUUAAGGAGUUUUAAAGCUUUACUUUGGGAGAAGUCAGGACCAGACAGCUUAAUAAAGCCACUCUGUGUGGGACCAUGACUAAGUUUUGUUGUGUUUACAGACAUUUUGUCACAGAAUCAAAGUUAACUUUUUUUUUUAAUUCUCUUUGCCACAGAGGAACCCAGACAUGCUCUAUUUGCAAACCGACUGCAUGAAACAAAAAGCACGGUAAUUCUGAAGCUGUUGGCUUGGAUGAAAUGAGAAUGUAAUUAAAAAGAAAAAGGUUAGCAAAAGAACAUGCUGGGAAUUGAAAAUAAAAAUCUGAAAUGAUGUCCCAGCCUGCCCUUAAGGUCUUUUCCACCAUGUAGAGAGCUACCUCAAAUGCUCUACUUGUCCCAGAGUCUAUGUUCUUUCACUACUAUUGCCUAUAUCUGUGUUUUCUGCUUUCAAUAAUCUAUUGAAAUAAUCAAAAUUAAUUACAUUCAGCAUUUUUUCUGUAUUACUCUGAUUCUAAUAAUUACCUCAAAUUUAUUUGUGCAUUUCUAUACUAGAAAGAAAAAAUAAUUUUUAGAGUUUUACUAUAUCUUCCCCUUAAUUCUAAGUUGCUUGUCACUAAUUCCUUUCCCAACACUAUGUUAUUUCCACCAAGAACAUUACCAAUAUCUUCAGGAAAAUUCCACCCCAUAUUUUAAGCCAGAUUGAUUAUUGGGAAUAUAAAUACAUUUAAGAAGGAAAGUCUUUUUGACUGUGUUUCUCCACAGACCAAUAGUAUACAAAACACAGAAGGCUUUUAAGCACAUUUCAUAGGGAUCACUGACUUAGAACAGAAGGAACCAUUUCGUGAAACACUCUCAUUUUGCACAUAAAGGAGCUGUGGCCCACAGAGGAAUAUGAUUUACUGAGAGUGACCCAGUUAGUGGCCAUAAACCAAAAGCCCCAAGAUGCUAAAUGUUUGUUAUGAAGAGUAAAAAUCCUCCCAGUUUAUAAGAAGUAACUUCAUCCUUCCAUUUUCUAUUUCCACGAUGACUCCCCUGGCUUAAAUUUUAAUCUCUAUUUUGGAUGACUCCAAAAUCUCAUUCUUCUAAAUUAAUUAUCUAAUACCACAAUGUUGCACUUAUCUUCCUACAAAUCUACUUUCAUCUGCCUUGACAAAGCCAACCCUAAUUUUCUCUAGUCCUCAUUAGAAAUUAUUGCAACAAAAAUUCACAUCCAGUCUGAAGUUUGGGAGCCAGAAAAGAAUUUUCCCAUUAAGAUGAGACAGUAUCAAUUAUUAAGCAGAGGAAGACACAAGAGGGAAAGCAGCUUUCACAUGAAAAAAAAAGAACUCUGAUUUUCUGACACAUUUUGUCAUUGCAGUCAAACUUUCAGAGUUAGAACUAGAGACCUAGAUAUUAGCUAACCCAGCAUUUUCCAAGUAUUCCUCGGAACUCUAGAGGCACAGCAUAGUACUGGUAAUGAUUUUGUGGCAGGAUAGAUUAAGGAAACCUCACAGUUAUACCAAGUUAAAUUCAUUUAUUUCAUGUAAAAUUCUGAUAGCCUUUUAUGCUACUAGGCCUAGUGAUACUCCAAAAUUAUUGGCCAUAUAUCUGAAAUUUAUUUCAGCAAGAAACCCUUUAAAGAGCAUCCCGCAGAGUUAGUGUUUUGAGGGAUAUCAUUGGGGAAAAUGCUGAUCUAGACCAAUUCAACAAAUUGUAACUUAGUUAACACCAGAGUCAAAACAAAAACCAAGUCUACUCAUGUCUGUCUUAGGCCCUUUUGGUCACAAAAACACGUUCAAACCACUUCAAUUAAGAAAAUGGUGAGAGGGGAAAAGACAAGCAGGGAACCUUAUCCCAGGUGGGCUGAUCACAGGACUUCCAAGGCUGUCCCUUAGAAGAGUCACGAUAAUGGCAUCUCUAGCACAAAACUCAAAUUUAGUUUUAAUUCUUAGUCGAAUAAUAAUACAGUAAAAUUUAUUGCAUGCAUAAGGAUAAUACAUUAAAACUACUUAAAUUACAUUUUAGGGCCGGGCGCGGUGGCUCACGCCUGUAAUCCCAGCACUUUGGGAGGCCGAGGCGGGUGGAUCACGAGGUCAGGA
Molecule: long non-coding RNA, 3326 nt
Filed under: Homo sapiens (human)
Lineage: Eukaryota; Metazoa; Chordata; Mammalia; Primates; Hominidae
Description: HSALNT0210353
Source: RNAcentral